This is a long non-coding RNA of Anthonomus grandis grandis, 982 nucleotides long. RefSeq lists it as uncharacterized. The record is from RefSeq and is a predicted model, not a curated record. The transcript has 3 exons. Lineage: Eukaryota; Metazoa; Arthropoda; Insecta; Coleoptera; Curculionidae.
UUUUAAACGAAGAUGCUCAAGUAGAGAUUUUGGGAACAUUCGUUGCAGAACCCACCAAUUCUCUCCGUACAGUAGCACGUCUAACUGGAAUGUCACAUGAAACUGAACUUCAUGAGGACGAUUUUGAUAGGAGAAUAGAGUUUUGCGAAAUUAUGUCCAACUUAAUAAACACUCGUGCAAUUGUGACAGAAUUGUCGAUACUGGAGUGAGGACAAUCCCCACAUUUUCAGAGAGGGUGCUACACAGCGGCCACAAAAAAUUAAUGUUUGGGCCGGUAUUCUUGGAAAUGCUGUUAUAGGACCGUUGUUUAUUGAACAAAACUUAACUGGAGAGCUCUACUUACACCUACUUGAAGAUGUAAUUGAUCCUUUGAUAACAACUGAACUGGAAAAUCAAGUUGGUAACAUUUUGCAAGAAAACGAACUACACUUUCAGCAAGAUGGAGCUACGCCGCAUUAUUUUCGGCCAGUGCGGGAGUGGUUGAAUAACAGAUUCCCUAACCAAUGGAUUGGUAGAAGGGGACCGAUAGAAUGGCCUGCUAGGUCACCAGACUUAACGCCGUUAGAUUUUUUUUUUAUGGGGGCACAUAAAAUCGGUUGUUUACAAAACUCAGCCUGAUGAUAUCGAAGAUUUAAAAAGAAGAAUUACAGAGGCAAGUAGGGCUAUUCCAGAAGAGGUAUUUCAGAAUGUUCGGGAAGAAUUUGAGAAUAGACUUUAUUUUUGUUUGGAGAACAAUUGAGAACACUUUGAACACCUCUUAAAGUAGAUGUGUUAAUAAAAUAAAUUUUAGGCGUGCUUUUGUAAAGACCAUAAUUGUAACGGCUAUGCAAAUGUUUAGUAAAAAUAAUAUUAACCUAAAUAACAUGUUUCAAUGUAAUAUUAACCUAAAUAACAUGUUUCAAUGCAAAUCAUAGCUUUAACGUAUUUAAAACACUUACAGGAAUAAUGUUUAAUAAUAAGUAAUUUAACAAUGUUUAAAUAA